RNAcentral lists this ribosomal RNA (480 nucleotides) under uncultured Bacillus sp. RNAcentral's name for it is "bacterial SSU rRNA". It matches the Rfam family "Bacterial small subunit ribosomal RNA", at positions 40 to 505 of the family's 1533-position model. Lineage: Bacteria; Bacillati; Bacillota; Bacilli; Caryophanales; Bacillaceae. The record is from RNAcentral.
UGGGGGGGCUAAUAAUGCAAGUCGACCCCCUUGAUGGGAGCUUGCUCCCUGAUAUUAUCGGCGGACGGGUGAGUAACACGUGGGUAACCUGCCUGUGGGAUUGGGAUAACUCCGGGAAACCGGAGCUAAUACCGGAUUAUUCUUUGAACCACAUGGUUCCAAAUUGAAAUAUGGCAUCAACCUAUCACUUAUUAAUGGACCCGCGGCGCAUUAGCUAGUUGGUGAGGUAACGGCUCACCAAGCAACGAUGCGUUCCGACCUGAGAGGGUGAUCGGCCACACUGGGACUGACACACGGCCCAAACUCCUACGGGAGGCAGCAGUAGGGAAUCUUCCGCAAUGGACGAAAGUCUGACGGAGCAACGCCGCGUGAACGAUGAAGGCCUUCGGGUCGUAAAGUUCUGUUGUUAGGGAAGAACAAGUACCAGAGUAACUGCUGGUACCUUGACGGUACCUAACCAGAAAGCCACGGCUAACUACU